CCGCGCUCCCCCGCCCCGCCCCGCAGUCCCUGCCGGGCCGGGCCUCGUCCCCGGGGCGCUGAGGGCGCGUCCCUCUCGCCGAGAGGGCCGGGGGCGUCGUUGGGGGCACCGAGUCCCGAACAGGAAUGUUAUGCUUUUAAGCAAGAGAUAAAACUACUGAAAAGCCAGAGCUAGACCCAGCAACAAACUAAUGGAGGUGUGCAGCAAAAUGGGUUGAGAGCACAGCUGUCUUAUUCCAUCUUGUUUUUGCACUGUCUUCAGUUUUGCUUCAGAAAGUGCUACAUAUCUAAAUGGGUUUGUCAAAUUGGCAAAGAAGAACAGACAACCUCUGGUGUCUGUUGCAUCCUGAUUUAUCCACUUUGCUUCUGGCAGCCUAUGAAGGAGAUCUACUGCAGUGUGCCUGUGAACCUUCCCUGCAAACAGAUAAGGAAUUUCUGUUUUCUCUUUUCAACCAGUGCUGGCUAAGCUGAAACU
RNAcentral lists this long non-coding RNA (474 nucleotides) under Lonchura striata (white-rumped munia). RNAcentral's name for it is "domestica (Bengalese finch) lncRNA (ENSLSDG00000004314.1)". Lineage: Eukaryota; Metazoa; Chordata; Aves; Passeriformes; Estrildidae. The record is from RNAcentral.